UCGACGAGUUUGAUCAUGGCUCAGAUUGAACGCUGGCGGCAUGCCUAACACAUGCAAGUCGAACGGCAGCGCGGGCUUCGGCCUGGCGGCGAGUGGCGGACGGGUGAGGAAUACAUAGGAAUCUGCCCAGUCGUGGGGGAUAACCCGGGGAAACCCGGACUAAUACCGCAUACGACGGCGACGUGAAAGCAGGGGACCUUCGGGCCUUGCGCGAUUGGAUGAGCCUAUGUCGGAUUAGCUAGUUGGCGGGGUAAAGGCCCACCAAGGCGACGAUCCGUAGCUGGUCUGAGAGGAUGAUCAGCCACACUGGGACUGAGACACGGCCCAGACUCCUACGGGAGGCAGCAGUGGGGAAUAUUGGACAAUGGGCGCAAGCCUGAUCCAGCAAUGCCGCGUGGGUGAAGAAGGCCUUCGGGUUGUAAAGCCCUUUUGUACGGGAAGAAAUCAUUCGGGUUAAUACCCUGGGUGGAUGACGGUACCGUAAGAAUAAGCACCGGCUAACUUCGUG
RNAcentral lists this ribosomal RNA (508 nucleotides) under uncultured bacterium. Its description in RNAcentral is "bacterial SSU rRNA". It matches the Rfam family "Bacterial small subunit ribosomal RNA", at positions 1 to 507 of the family's 1533-position model. The record is from RNAcentral.